This 1436-nucleotide ribosomal RNA is filed under the name uncultured organism. Its description in RNAcentral is "SSU rRNA". It matches the Rfam family "Bacterial small subunit ribosomal RNA". The record is from RNAcentral.
UUUGAUGAACGCUAGCUACAGGCUUAACACAUGCAAGUCGAGGGGCAUCAGGAAGAAAGCUUGCUUUCUUUGCUGGCGACCGGCGCACGGGUGAGUAACACGUAUCCAACCUGCCCUUUACUCGGGGAUAGCCUUUCGAAAGAAAGAUUAAUACCCGAUGGCAUAAUGAUUCCGCAUGGUUUGAUUAUUAAAGGAUUCCGGUAAAGGAUGGGGAUGCGUUCCAUUAGGUUGUUGGUGAGGUAACGGCUCACCAAGCCUUCGAUGGAUAGGGGUUCUGAGAGGAAGGUCCCCCACAUUGGAACUGAGACACGGUCCAAACUCCUACGGGAGGCAGCAGUGAGGAAUAUUGGUCAAUGGGCGCUAGCCUGAACCAGCCAAGUAGCGUGAAGGAUGAAGGCUCUAUGGGUCGUAAACUUCUUUUAUAUAAGAAUAAAGUGCAGUAUGUAUACUGUUUUGUAUGUAUUAUAUGAAUAAGGAUCGGCUAACUCCGUGCCAGCAGCCGCGGUAAUACGGAGGAUCCGAGCGUUAUCCGGAUUUAUUGGGUUUAAAGGGAGCGUAGGUGGACUGGUAAGUCAGUUGUGAAAGUUUGCGGCUCAACCGUAAAAUUGCAGUUGAUACUGUCAGUCUUGAGUACAGUAGAGGUGGGCGGAAUUCGUGGUGUAGCGGUGAAAUGCUUAGAUAUCACGAAGAACUCCGAUUGCGAAGGCAGCUCACUGGACUGCAACUGACACUGAUGCUCGAAAGUGUGGGUAUCAAACAGGAUUAGAUACCCUGGUAGUCCACACAGUAAACGAUGAAUACUCGCUGUUUGCGAUAUACAGUAAGCGGCCAAGCGAAAGCAUUAAGUAUUCCACCUGGGGAGUACGCCGGCAACGGUGAAACUCAAAGGAAUUGACGGGGGCCCGCACAAGCGGAGGAACAUGUGGUUUAAUUCGAUGAUACGCGAGGAACCUUACCCGGGCUUAAAUUGCAGUGGAAUGAUGUGGAAACAUGUCAGUGAGCAAUCACCGCUGUGAAGGUGCUGCAUGGUUGUCGUUAGCUCGUGCCGUGAGGUGUCGGCUUAAGUGCCAUAACGAGCGCAACCCUUAUCUUUAGUUACUAACAGGUCAUGCUGAGGACUCUAGAGAGACUGCCGUCGUAAGAUGUGAGGAAGGUGGGGAUGACGUCAAAUCAGCACGGCCCUUACGUCCGGGGCUACACACGUGUUACAAUGGGGGGUACAGAAGGCAGCUAGCGGGUGACCGUAUGCUAAUCCCAAAAUCCUCUCUCAGUUCGGAUCGAAGUCUGCAACCCGACUUCGUGAAGCUGGAUUCGCUAGUAAUCGCGCAUCAGCCACGGCGCGGUGAAUACGUUCCCGGGCCUUGUACACACCGCCCGUCAAGCCAUGGGAGCCGGGGGUACAUGAAGUACGUAACCGCAAGGAUCGUCCUAGGGUA